RNAcentral lists this ribosomal RNA (252 nucleotides) under uncultured bacterium. RNAcentral's name for it is "partial 16S ribosomal RNA". It matches the Rfam family "Bacterial small subunit ribosomal RNA", at positions 524 to 776 of the family's 1533-position model. The record is from RNAcentral.
UACGGAGGGUGCAAGCGUUAAUCGGAAUUACUGGGCGUAAAGCGCACGCAGGCGGUCUGUUAAGUCAGAUGUGAAAUCCCCGGGCUUAACCUGGGAACUGCAUUUGAAACUGGCAGGCUUGAGUCUUGUAGAGGGGUGUAGAAUUCCAGGUGUAGCGGUGAAAUGCGUAGAGAUCUGGAGGAAUACCGGUGGCGAAGGCGGCCCCCUGGACAAGACUGACGCUCAGGUGCGAAAGCGUGGGGAGCAAACAGG